AGAGUUUGAUCCUGGCUCAGGAUGAACGCUGGCGGCGUGCCUAAUACAUGCAAGUCGAGCGAACGGACGAGAAGCUUGCUUCUCUGAUGUUAGCGGCGGACGGGUGAGUAACACGUGGAUAACCUACCUAUAAGACUGGGAUAACUUCGGGAAACCGGAGCUAAUACCGGAUAAUAUUUUGAACCGCAUGGUUCAAAAGUGAAAGACGGUCUUGCUGUCACUUAUAGAUGGAUUCGCGCUGCAUUAGCUAGUUGGUAAGGUAACGGCUUACCAAGGCAACGAUGCAUAGCCGACCUGAGAGGGUGAUCGGCCACACUGGAACUGAGACACGGUCCAGACUCCUACGGGAGGCAGCAGUAGGGAAUCUUCCGCAAUGGGCGAAAGCCUGACGGAGCAACGCCGCGUGAGUGAUGAAGGUCUUCGGAUCGUAAAACUCUGUUAUUAGGGAAGAACAUAUGUGUAAGUAACUGUGCACAUCUUGACGGUACCUAAUCAGAAAGCCACGGCUAACUACGUGCCAGCAGCCGCGGUAAUACGUAGGUGGCAAGCGUUAUCCGGAAUUAUUGGGCGUAAAGCGCGCGUAGGCGGUUUUUUAAGUCUGAUGUGAAAGCCCACGGCUCAACCGUGGAG
This 630-nucleotide ribosomal RNA is filed under the name Staphylococcus aureus. RNAcentral describes it as "bacterial SSU rRNA". It matches the Rfam family "Bacterial small subunit ribosomal RNA", at positions 8 to 620 of the family's 1533-position model. The record is from RNAcentral. Lineage: Bacteria; Bacillati; Bacillota; Bacilli; Caryophanales; Staphylococcaceae.